This 1063-nucleotide long non-coding RNA is filed under the name Zea mays. Its description in RNAcentral is "long non-coding RNA (ZMAY_LNC000587)". The record is from RNAcentral. Lineage: Eukaryota; Viridiplantae; Streptophyta; Magnoliopsida; Poales; Poaceae.
UUUUGUCAGUAGACGCAGCAUCUACACAUGUCUAUUCUAGCCUCAGCAGCGCAAAAAGAUCCCCUUCCCUCCCUACACGGCUACACACCUUACUAGUUAAGGAUACCUAUUGCUAGGCCGGUACGUGGCGUCGUGGCAUUUGCCACCAUUGUUCCCAGCAAGCACACACGCGCCGUACCUACUCACUCUGCAGUGAAAGGAGAGAGGAAAAGGGACGGUGAUGUACAGGCUCUCUCUCUCCUCCCUGUCUGGCACACAAAGGACAAGAACACAGAACGCAACCAAGGCUACUCCAUGUCUCCAUCUCCAUGAGAGAGGUGCAAACAUCACCGCAGCACUGUUCCUUCUACUACAGCAACAGUUAGGCUGGCCCUCUUCGGCUCCUCCCCAAUAAAUCGUCCUCUGGCUCAACCUCUCCUUUUACAGACUGCCAGGGGCAUAAAGAACUCUUGAGUCUAUACCACUCAAGGCCCAGACAAACCAAAUUACACGUGAUUUUAGCCCACGUCGCGCAUGGUUAAUUUUCAGUUGACCCUGCGUAAAACCACAAGAGAAGCCUUCAUUUUGCUUGUGCUGGUGCCUGAUAACUGCCUGCCAUAUAUAUGGUAUACAACAUUACGACGACAUGAUGCGCCAUGGUAUACAUAUGUAGUAUGCAUGGACAAAGAGUGAUCGAGCAACAGUACAGAAAGUGGCAACAACCGGCAAAAGCACGAAAACGAAAACAAGAGUGCCAGCACCACCACUCAUAAUAUAAACAAGAGAGAUGGUGAGCAGUAUCUAUGAAAGAAGAUGAGCGAUGAUUCAGAGUUUAAAAAACUGACCUGCAAAUUAAUGCUUCUAUAGCUAGCUCCAUAUUGGCUUUGCCGCCUGCUGUAAGUUGACUGCUGCUAAUGGACUGUCAAUGUUGUUGUCAUGCCCUGAGAACGCUGCGGUUGCAACUCCAAUCUUAGGACGAGAACAGAUCAUACAUAUAUAAUGCAAUGAAAUGCACAUUAUGUAUUGCAGCGCAUCAGAUCUUGGCAGUGAUGCUGUGGAGAGUGCGAAUUUGAAGGGGUGUUAU